This 427-nucleotide ribosomal RNA is filed under the name uncultured bacterium. RNAcentral's name for it is "partial 16S ribosomal RNA". It matches the Rfam family "Bacterial small subunit ribosomal RNA", at positions 355 to 774 of the family's 1533-position model. The record is from RNAcentral.
UGGGGAAUAUUGCACAAUGGGCGCAAGCCUGAUGCAGCCAUGCCGCGUGUAUGAAGAAGGCCUUCGGGUUGUAAAGUACUUUCAGCGAGGAGGAAGGCGUUGUGGUUAAUAACCGCAACGAUUGACGUUACUCGCAGAAGAAGCACCGGCUAACUCCGUGCCAGCAGCCGCGGUAAUACGGAGGGUGCAAGCGUUAAUCGGAAUUACUGGGCGUAAAGCGCACGCAGGCGGUCUGUCAAGUCGGAUGUGAAAUCCCCGGGCUCAACCUGGGAACUGCAUCCGAAACUGGCAGGCUAGAGUCUUGUAGAGGGGGGUAGAAUUCCAGGUGUAGCGGUGAAAUGCGUAGAGAUCUGGAGGAAUACCGGUGGCUAAGGCGGCCCCCUGGACAAAGACUGACGCUCAGGUGCGAAAGCGUGGGGAGCAAACA